GUCCCUGUAGCUCAAUGGAUAGCGCGCUGGACUUCUAAUCCAGAGGGGGGUGGGUUCGAAUCCUACCUGGGAUG
Molecule: non-coding RNA, 74 nt
Organism: Trichonephila clavipes
Lineage: Eukaryota; Metazoa; Arthropoda; Arachnida; Araneae; Nephilidae
Source: the annotation of a GenBank genome assembly